This 1267-nucleotide ribosomal RNA is filed under the name metagenome. Its description in RNAcentral is "bacterial LSU rRNA". It matches the Rfam family "Bacterial large subunit ribosomal RNA", at positions 1638 to 2925 of the family's 2925-position model. The record is from RNAcentral.
UUGCCUGUACCAUAACCGACACAGGUGGGUAGGUAGAGUAUACUAAGGGGCGCGAGAUAACUCUCUCUAAGGAACUCGGCAAAAUGACUCCGUAACUUCGGGAGAAGGAGUGCCUUAUUUAUAAGGUUGCAAUAACCAGAUCCAAGCAACUGUUUAUCAAAAACACAGGUCUCCGCAAAGUCGUAAGACGAUGUAUGGGGGCUGGCGCCUGCCCAGUGCCAGAAGGUUAAAGAAGUUGGUUAGUUUCGGCGAAGCUGAUAACUGAAGCCCUGGUGAACGGCGGCCGUAACCAUAACGGUCCUAAGGUAGCGAAAUUCCUUGUCGGGUAAGUUCCGACCCGCACGAAAGGCGUAAUGAUUUGGAUACUGUCUCAGAGAGGGACUCGGUGAAAUAGACUUGUCUGUGAAGAUGCGGACUACCUGCACCUGGACAGAAAGACCCUAUGAAGCUUUACUGUAACUUGAAAUUGAAAUUGGACUUUAUUUGCGCAGUAUAGGUGGGAGGCAUUGAAGAUCGUCUUGCGGGAAGAUUGGAGCCAUCAGUGAGAUACCACUCUUGUAAUGUUAGAUUUCUAACUUUGCAUCAUUAUCUGGUCAAAGAACAGUUUCAGGCGGGCAGUUUGACUGGGGCGGUCGCCUCCCAAAGGGUAACGGAGGCGCACAAAGGUUUCCUCUGAACGGGUAGAAAUCGUAUCUAGAGUGUAAAGGCAUAAGGAAGCUUGACUGUGAGACCUACAAGUCGAGCAGGGACGAAAGUCGGUCUUAGUGAUCUGACGGUGCUGAGUGGAAAGGCCGUCACUCAACGGAUAAAAGUUACUCUAAGGAUAACAGGCUGAUCUCCCCCAAGAGUUCACAUCGACGGGGAGGUUUGGCACCUCGAUGUCGGCUCAUCGCAUCCUGGGGCGGUAGUACGUCCCAAGGGUUGGGCUGUUCGCCCAUGAAAGCUGUACGCGAGCUGGGUUCAGAACGUCGUGAGACAGUUCGGUCCAUAUCCGGUGUAGGCGUUAGAAUAUUGAGAGGUGCCUUCUUUAGUACGAGAGGACCGAGAAGGACAUACCUCUGGUGUACCAGUUAUCGUGCCAACGGUAAACGCUGGGUAGCUAUGUAUGGAGUGGAUAACCGCUGAAAGCAUCUAAGUGGGAAGCCCACCUCAAGAUAAGUAUUCUCAUCACGUAAGUGAAUAAGGUCACGGUAAGACUAACCGUUUGAUAGGCAUUAAGUGUAAAUUUAGUAAUAAAUGAGCUGAGAUGUACUAACAGACCGAAGAC